This 665-nucleotide ribosomal RNA is filed under the name Microsporomyces pini. Its description in RNAcentral is "eukaryotic LSU rRNA". The stretch from base 229 to 382 matches the Rfam family "5.8S ribosomal RNA". Lineage: Eukaryota; Fungi; Basidiomycota; Cystobasidiomycetes; Cystobasidiales; Microsporomycetaceae. The record is from RNAcentral.
UUUAGAUAUGGUCGGUCCCGGCUGGAAACCGUCGGGAUAAGUAUCUGUACUGUUGCAUAACGUUCCGUAGGUGAACCUGCGGAAGGAUCAUUUAUGAAUGCAAGGGUGCUCUUUUUUGAGACCCGACCCAUCUCAUUUUCUCACACCGUGCACACACUUCUUUUCACCAUUUUUAACACAAGUCUUUAGAAUGUAAUCAAGUCUCGUAAUUGAGCAUAAAAGUUUUACAACUUUCGGCAACGGAUCUCUUGGCUCCCGCAUCGAUGAAGAACGCAGCGAAAUGCGAUACGUAAUGUGAAUUGCAGAAUUCAGUGAAUCAUCGAAUCUUUGAACGCACCUUGCGCCCUUUGGUAUUCCGAAGGGCAUGUCUGUUUGAGUGUCGUGAAACUCUCAACCCCCCUGUUUUGUAAUGAGGCAGGCGCUUGGGCUUGGAUUUUGGCUGCUGUCGGACCCGAGAGGGACCGGCUCGGCUGAAAUACAUGAGUGUACCCUGCCUUCAGACGGCAGCGGCUUGACUCGGCGUAAUAAUACUAUUCGCUGGGGACGCUGCAUUGAUGUCUGGACCGUGGACGCUUCUAAUGCUUCGACGUAGUCGAAACCUUUCCUUCUAGACCUCAAAUCAGGCAGGACUACCCGCUGAACUUUAGCAUAUCAAUAAGCGGAGG